This 514-nucleotide ribosomal RNA is filed under the name Acanthamoeba sp. CDC # V062. RNAcentral's name for it is "SSU rRNA". It matches the Rfam family "Eukaryotic small subunit ribosomal RNA", at positions 798 to 1214 of the family's 1831-position model. Lineage: Eukaryota; Discosea; Longamoebia; Acanthamoebidae. The record is from RNAcentral.
AAUACAUUAGCAUGGGAUAAUGGAAUAGGACCCUGUCCUCCUAUUUUCAGUUGGUUUUGGCAGCGCGAGGACUAGGGUAAUGAUUAAUAGGGAUAGUUGGGGGCAUUAAUAUUUAAUUGUCAGAGGUGAAAUUCUUGGAUUUAUGAAAGAUUAACUUCUGCGAAAGCAUCUGCCAAGGAUGUUUUCAUUAAUCAAGAACGAAAGUUAGGGGAUCGAAGACGAUCAGAUACCGUCGUAGUCUUAACCAUAAACGAUGCCGACCAGCGAUUAGGAGACGUUGAAUACAAAACACCACCAUCGGUGCGGUCGUCCUUGGCGUCUCGGUUUCGGCCGGGGCGCGGGGAUGGCUUAGCCCGGUGGCACCGGUGAAUGACUCCCCUAGCAGCUUGUGAGAAAUCAUAAGUCUUUGGGUUCCGGGGGGAGUAUGGUCGCAAGGCUGAAACUUAAAGGAAUUGACGGAAGGGCACCACCAGGAGUGGAGCCUGCGGCUUAAUUUGACUCAACACGGGGAAAC